UGAUAUGUCUGGUAUUCUUGGGUUC
This 25-nucleotide microRNA is filed under the name Caenorhabditis brenneri. Its description in RNAcentral is "cbn-miR-50". Its record names the gene cbn-miR-50. Lineage: Eukaryota; Metazoa; Nematoda; Chromadorea; Rhabditida; Rhabditidae. The record is from miRBase by way of RNAcentral.